This 460-nucleotide ribosomal RNA is filed under the name uncultured bacterium. RNAcentral describes it as "partial 16S ribosomal RNA". It matches the Rfam family "Bacterial small subunit ribosomal RNA", at positions 338 to 795 of the family's 1533-position model. The record is from RNAcentral.
CCUACGGGAUGCAGCAGUGAGGAAUAUUGGUCAAUGGCCGUAAGGCUGAACCAGCCAAGUAGCGUGAGGGAAGACUGCCCUAUGGGUUGUAAACCUCUUUUAUGCGGGGAUAAAGGUGUCCACGUGUGGAGGUUUGAAGGUACCGCAUGAAUAAGGACCGGCUAAUUCCGUGCCAGCAGCCGAGGUAAUACGGAAGGACCGGGUGUUAUCCGGAUUUAUUGGGUUUAAAGGGAGCGUAGGCCGGUCUUUAAGCGUGCCGUGAAAUUUUGUGGCUCAACCAUGAGAGUGCGGCGCGAACUGGGGACCUUGAGUGCGCGGAAGGCAGGCGGAAUUCGUGGUGUAGCGGUGAAAUGCUUAGAUAUCACGAAGAACCCCGAUUGCGAAGGCAGCCUGCCGCAGCGUUACUGACGCUGAAGCUCGAAAGCGCGGGUAUCGAACAGGAUUAGAUACCCGGGUAGUC